UUUUGCUUAUGUGAAUGAUUUUGAAAAUCAAUCCUGAGGAAGGAAUUACCUCAAGCAAAAA
RNAcentral lists this transfer RNA (61 nucleotides) under Physidae sp. PE4. RNAcentral describes it as "tRNA-Ser". Lineage: Eukaryota; Metazoa; Mollusca; Gastropoda; Physidae. The record is from RNAcentral.